RNAcentral lists this ribosomal RNA (1073 nucleotides) under Mycobacteroides chelonae. RNAcentral describes it as "bacterial SSU rRNA". It matches the Rfam family "Bacterial small subunit ribosomal RNA", at positions 119 to 1468 of the family's 1533-position model. Lineage: Bacteria; Bacillati; Actinomycetota; Actinomycetes; Mycobacteriales; Mycobacteriaceae. The record is from RNAcentral.
GGGUGAUCUGCCCUGCACUUUGGGAUAAGCCUGGGAAACUGGGUCUAAUACCGAAUAGGACCACGCGCUUCAUGGUGUGUGGUGGAAAGCUUUUGCGGUGUGGGAUGGGCCCGCGGCCUAUCAGCUUGUUGGUGGGGUAAUGGCCUACCAAGGCGACGACGGGUAGCCGGCCUGAGAGGGUGACCGGCCACACUGGGACUGAGAUACGGCCCAGACUCCUACGGGAGGCAGCAGUGGGGAAUAUUGCACAAUGGGCGCAAGCCUGAUGCAGCGACGCCGCGUGAGGGAUGACGGCCUUCGGGUUGUAAACCUCUUUCNCCAGGGACGAAGCGNAAGUGACGGUACCUGGAGAAGAAGCACCGGCCAACUACGUGCCAGCAGCCGCGGUAAUACGUAGGGUGCGAGCGUUGUCCGGAAUUACUGGGCGUAAAGAGCUCGUAGGUGGUUUGUCGCGUUGUUCGUGAAAACUCACAGCUUAACUGUGGGCGUGCGGGCGAUACGGGNNNNNCGGCCGCAAGGCUAAAACUCAAAGGAAUUGACGGGGGCCCGCACAAGCGGCGGAGCAUGUGGAUUAAUUCGAUGCAACGCGAAGAACCUUACCUGGGUUUGACAUGCACAGGACGCCGGCAGAGAUGUCGGUUCCCUUGUGGCCUGUGUGCAGGUGGUGCAUGGCUGUCGUCAGCUCGUGUCGUGAGANNNNNAACCCUUGUCCUAUGUUGCCAGCGGGUUAUGCCGGGGACUCGUAGGAGACUGCCGGGGUCAACUCGGAGGAAGGUGGGGAUGACGUCAAGUCAUCAUGCCCCUUAUGUCCAGGGCUUCACACAUGCUACAAUGGCCGGUACAAAGGGCUGCGAUGCCGUGAGGUGGAGCGAAUCCUUUCAAAGCCGGUCUCAGUUCGGAUCGGGGUCUGCAACUCGACCCCGUGAAGUCGGAGUCGCUAGUAAUCGCAGAUCAGCAACGCUGCGGUGAAUACGUUCCCGGGCCUUGUACACACCGCCCGUCACGUCAUGAAAGUCGGUAACACCCGAAGCCGGUGGCCUAACCCUUGUGGAGGGAGCCGUCGAAGGUGGGAU